This 1143-nucleotide long non-coding RNA is filed under the name Chrysemys picta bellii (western painted turtle). RNAcentral describes it as "lncRNA (ENSCPBG00000017327.1)". Lineage: Eukaryota; Metazoa; Chordata; Testudines; Emydidae. The record is from RNAcentral.
UGGGCAUUUGGGUUGUUGUAAUCACAAUGUGGGUUCAGGUUUAGGGUCUCUCACAACAUUCCUUUUUGUCACAGAAGCAAUCCUUCUGUUACCUACUGUUUCACCCACCUCGCAUGCAGGAUGGGGAGCCAUCCCUGCAGACAUGGCUACCAAUACCUAUGAGGCCCUAAAAAUUGCCUUUGCCCGUGAGUUCAAUCUCUCCCACUGUUGGAUAUGUGCCCAGACUCCCCACCAUUCGGCUGGAUUGCCCUGGAGAGUAGUUCCCCAAAAUUGGUCAGACUUUUGUCAAAGGUGGAUGGUUACCAGCAGCAGCACCUCUGACAAUUUAAGUUGCGAUCCAACUGUACAGCAGAAGCUCCUUAUGGCCUACACAAUGGCUCCUGGGAUUCCCACUAUAGUAGCACUCUUAAGCCCCAGCCUAUUCGUCUAUGCCCUCCACCCACUGGUCUCAUAUGUUAUAAGCAAGCCAGUACAUGUAAUCAUACCUGGUUUGCAGGCAUUAGUAGGUGUAAAUUUUAUAUUAGUCCUGGUAUAAGUCUCACUAUUCCUGUACUAAAUGCCACCAGUUGGCAAACUGGCACUGCAUUCUUUGCCCUUUCCCCACAAGCCACCCUACGGGACCUACAAGGUAACAAUGGAAAGGCUAGUUAUGGUGAAGCAUUCUGGAUUUGUGGUAAUAGUGCCUACAAAUGGCUUCCUCAAGCUUGGCAUGGUAGCUGUUAUAAAGGCUAUCUCGCUCCUCCCCUCCGUGUUCUACCCCAGGCUCCCUCAGGUCGCCCUAGGUACUAUCGAUCCUUGAGAGCUACCAUUGAACCCAUCGGAGAAGGAGACAGGUUUGGAAUGAUAUUCCUCCCUACUUAUGGGGUGGGACGGCUAGCCCAACUCUACAGAAGACUUUCUAAAUUUCUCACUCAGUUUGCCAAUGAUACCCUAGCCAUAGAAAAAGGCAUAAGCUCUGAGCUGUACCAGCUUCGAUUGCUGUCUCUACAAAACUGCCAGGCCCUAGAUUAUGUGUUAGCCUCACGGGGCAGGGUCUGUGCCCUUACUGGAGAAGAAUGUUGUACCUAUGUCCCAGAGUUUUCACAGGAUAUUAACAAGCACAUCUUGUCAGUCGAACAGGCCNNNNNNNNNNNNNNNNNNNNN